UACGGAGGGUGCAAGCGUUAAUCGGAAUUACUGGGCGUAAAGCGCACGUAGGCGGCUUUGUAAGUUAGAGGUGAAGGCCCGGGGCUCAACUCCGGAAUUGCCUUUAAGACUGCAUCGCUAGAAUUGUGGAGAGGUAAGUGGAAUUCCGAGUGUAGAGGUGAAAUUCGUAGAUAUUCGGAAGAACACCAGUGGCGAAGGCGACUUACUGGACACAUAUUGACGCUGAGGUGCGAAAGCGUGGGGAGCAAACAGG
This 253-nucleotide ribosomal RNA is filed under the name uncultured bacterium. RNAcentral describes it as "partial 16S ribosomal RNA". It matches the Rfam family "Bacterial small subunit ribosomal RNA", at positions 524 to 776 of the family's 1533-position model. The record is from RNAcentral.